RNAcentral lists this ribosomal RNA (467 nucleotides) under uncultured bacterium. RNAcentral's name for it is "partial 16S ribosomal RNA". It matches the Rfam family "Bacterial small subunit ribosomal RNA", at positions 28 to 506 of the family's 1533-position model. The record is from RNAcentral.
GACGAACGCUGGCGGCGUGCUUAACACAUGCAAGUCGAACGGAAAGGCCCUGCUUUUGUGGGGUGCUCGAGUGGCGAACGGGUGAGUAACACGUGAGUAACCUGCCCUUGACUUUGGGAUAACUUCAGGAAACUGGGGCUAAUACCGGAUAGGAGCUCCUGCUGCAUGGUGGGGGUUGGAAAGUUUUGGCGGUUGGGGAUGGACUCGCGGCUUAUCAACUUGUUGGUGGGGUAGUGGCUUACCAAGGCUUUGACGGGUAGCCGGCCUGAGAGGGUGACCGGCCAAAUUGGGACUGGGAUACGGCCCAGACUCCUACGGGGGGCAGCAGGGGGGAAUAUUGCACAAGGGGCGGAAGCCUGAUGCAGCAACGCCGGGGGGGGGAUGACGGCCUUCGGGUGGAAAACCGCUUUCCCCUGGGACGAAGCGUGAGUGACGGUAAUGGGGAAAGAAGCACCGGCUAACUACGU